Molecule: ribosomal RNA, 329 nt
Filed under: uncultured eukaryote
Lineage: Eukaryota
Description: partial 18S ribosomal RNA
Rfam family: Eukaryotic small subunit ribosomal RNA
Source: RNAcentral
CCCUUAGAUGUUCUGGGCCGCACGCGCACUACACUGAUGCAUUCAACGAGUCUAAAACCUGCUCUGAUAGGGGUGGGUAAUCUUUUGAAUGUGCAUCGUGAUUGGGAUAGAUGAUUGCAAUUUUUCAUCUUCAACGAGGAAUGCCUAGUAAACGCAAGUCAUCAGCUUGCAUUGAUUACGUCCCUGCCCUUUGUACACACCGCCCGUCGCUCCUACCGAUUGAAUGAUCCGAUGAAUAUCAUGGAUUGAGGAUGCAAGUAGGUUCGCCUAUCUUCAUCUUCGAGAAGUGAAGUAAAUCUUAUCAUUUAGAGGAAGUAAAAGUCGUAACA